UGCAGCUGAGUCAUUCCGGGAUCAAACCAGGCAGGGCGAUCUUCCUUUAUCCCCUGACCAGCUUCAUUACAGGACAAACCAGAGGGGACUGAGCAUCUUAGAAUCGGAGCCAGAGGUACGAGGAACAAGUAGCUGGACGGAGCAGAGGAGCGGAGGAGAGAAGUCUGCAGAGAAGUCUGCAAACAUUCGGAUCUACUGCACAGUGGUGUGAAGAAGGGAGGAUGUGGAGGUGGUAUGGAAGAGAGCAGCAUGGUUCAAAGACUGUUACACAGAGCUAACGAGUUAAGUGAGGAUGAGACCCAGAUAUCUCACUACAGGAGAAGUCCCAGACUAAUGAGCAAAGGAAGUAAUGCAACAAGAAUGGAACAAAAAAACUGAAACAUACUCACAAGAUCGCCAUAACGGGCAGAUGAAAUUACACGUGAAGGAAAAUUCCCUGUGCUGCUGAAACAUAAUCCCCCUGUCUUCAUAAAUAAAAAAAAUAAAAUAUAAACAGUUUAUGGAAAGGUAUAAGCAACUUAAUUUUAAAAUAUAUACU
Mirounga angustirostris (Northern elephant seal) is the source of this 538-nucleotide long non-coding RNA. RefSeq lists it as uncharacterized. Lineage: Eukaryota; Metazoa; Chordata; Mammalia; Carnivora; Phocidae. The record is from RefSeq and is a predicted model, not a curated record. The transcript has 3 exons.